UCAGAUGCUGAGAGGAAGCUGAUUCAAAACAUCUAGAUCUAGGUCAACUCAUAGGAGAACGAGCUACGAGUAAAUGAUGGCUUUCUCUAGAUAGAUUGAAAUACAUUCUUCUUAUCAAUAAUAAUUGUAACGUUAGAAGACAAAUGAUAUGCAUCAGAAGAAUCAUAGGUAUCACAUUUCAAGACCGCAUCACAAACCAAGAGAUUAGAUUUUAGAUCAUUAGACAUGGUUACUUCAGCGAUUGGACCCCACGAUGACCUUCUAACUAUCGUAAAGAAGCGCAACCUAAAAAUAUAUGGCCAUAUUGCAAGGUCUUCGGGGCUCGCAAAGACCUUUUUUUUAGGUAACAGUACCAGGAAAAAGAAGAAGAGGCAGACACAGAAAGCGCUGGGAAGACAACAUAAAAGAAUGGACGGCCAAGUAUAGAGGUUGUCAUUGUAAUAAAAAAAAAAGACCGAAAAGUGGGAAGGUAUGUGGGUAGGGAUGCUUCCGGUCAGAAGAAAAGUCAGAGACUGUACGUAGGACUAACUUAUUUUAUGGACGGGAGGCGGAAAGUAAAAGUGAUACUAGAAUUCACGGGCCAAAAGUAUGUAGUCGAGGGCUUUAUAAGGCGGACCAUUCCAGUUCAGAUUCAGAACUGGACAUGUCUUCAUCUCUGCUGCCUGGGUCCAAAUCACGUGCAGAAUGAUCAGAUUUUGUUUUCUUCUGUUUCCUGCAAGAACCAAAGAGAAAUCUAUUUCAAUGUUUGACAGUGUCAUAAAAGUGGGAACUGUGUCUGCAGUGGGGUAGAUAGGUGGAAUUCACCAUUUGUCUCUUGACUUUUUCAUUUUCAGUAAAGAAUUUGAAAUUUUAGAUCAUUAAGUUCCAUCUGUAUAUUAUUAGACAUUUUCAGAAUGUUUCAUUUAGUUUAGGAAGUGAAAAUGACUUUAUAAAUGCAAGCAUACAGUCUUAAUUUUCAGCAAAAUCAUUAAAAAAAAAAAAAAAAAAAAAUCAAAUGCUUCUGAUUUUUUCAAUGUACUCUGUACAAUUAGAUUGAUCUUCAAGACAUUUACUUUGAAUAAAUUGACUAAAAUCCCUAGCAACUUCAGGACUAUUGCCAGCUGUGAUUUUACAUUUCUUUGCUAAACUUUCUUAUGUGUAGAUGUACUGAAAAAUCAAGGAUACACAACCACACCUUCAAACCAAAGACUGAGUGGUAAAAGGGGUCCCUGGUUUGAAUACUAGUGAAGACUGGGAUUUUUAAUUUUGGGAUGUUUAGGGCGCCUCUGAGUCCACCCAGCACUAAUGGGUACCUGACAUUAGUUGGGGAAAAGUAAAGACGGUUGAUCAUUGUGCUGGCCACAUGACACCCUCAUUAACUAUAGGCUACAGGAACAGAUGACCAUUACAUCAUCUGACCCAUAGAUUGAAAAUGAUAUUUUCCUUUUUUUUUUUAUUAAAAGGUCAGUAGUUUUAUGGGGUAUAUAUAUAUAAUAAAUCUUGCCUAAUAAUGAUAAUUCAGUCUAUAAAUAAGUUAGAAUAAAUCCAGAUAAAACGGCCUGGCCUAUUAGUAUUAUAAGCAUGUGCAUCGAUUAGAGCAUAGUAGAAGCUUAUGAAUUAAAUCACUGUUGUACUUUUUUCUAGAAAUCAGUUAUUUAUAUUUUUUUAUACAGGUUCGCUUUUUCUUGAAUUUUUUCUUCAGUGUGUCACUAAUAAUCAUGCCUUGUGCCAAUGUUGGAGCAUGUUUCAUAUGUUGACCAUUACAUGGAGUGGGCUUUACUAUAAAGAAACUCUUCAUCACAAGAGUUAGUCCCUCCUGUUAGUGGCACAGAACAUUUUUAAGUACUGGCAAGAUGGUAGUAGGAAAGUUUCCUUACUCAGUGUCUAUUGCUCCCACCAUAUAUUCAAGAGAACAAUGAGAAGUUCUAUGAGGACCAAAAAAGAAAUAAUUAGGAACAAACCUCACCUCCCCCCCCCCCCC
This is a long non-coding RNA of Biomphalaria glabrata, 1960 nucleotides long. RefSeq lists it as uncharacterized. The transcript has 2 exons. The record is from RefSeq and is a predicted model, not a curated record. NCBI's taxonomy places the organism in Eukaryota, Metazoa, Mollusca, Gastropoda, Planorbidae.